AGAGUUUGAUCCUGGCUCAGGAUGAACGCCGGCGGUGUGCCUAAUACAUGCAAGUCGUACGCACUGGCCCAACUGAUUGAUGGUGCUUGCACCUGAUUGACGAUGGAUCACCAGUGAGUGGCGGACGGGUGAGUAACACGUAGGUAACCUGCCCCGGAGCGGGGGAUAACAUUUGGAAACAGAUGCUAAUACCGCAUAACAACAAAAGCCACAUGGCUUUUGUUUAAAAGAUGGCUUUGGCUAUCACUCUGGGAUGGACCUGCGGUGCAUUAGCUAGUUGGUAAGGUAACGGCUUACCAAGGCGAUGAUGCAUAGCCGAGUUGAGAGACUGAUCGGCCACAAUGGAACUGAGACACGGUCCAUACUCCUACGGGAGGCAGCAGUAGGGAAUCUUCCACAAUGGGCGCAAGCCUGAUGGAGCAACACCGCGUGAGUGAAGAAGGGUUUCGGCUCGUAAAGCUCUGUUGUUGGAGAAGAACGUGCGUGAGAGUAACUGUUCACGCAGUGACGGUAUCCAACCAGAAAGUCACGGCUAACUACGUGCCAGCAGCCGCGGUAAUACGUAGGUGGCAAGCGUUAUCCGGAUUUAUUGGGCGUAAAGCGAGCGCAGGCGGUUGCUUAGGUCUGAUGUGAAAGCCUUCGGCUUAACCGAAGAAGUGCAUCGGAAACCGGGCGACUUGAGUGCAGAAGAGGACAGUGGAACUCCAUGUGUAGCGGUGGAAUGCGUAGAUAUAUGGAAGAACACCAGUGGCGAAGGCGGCUGUCUGGUCUGCAACUGACGCUGAGGCUCGAAAGCAUGGGUAGCGAACAGGAUUAGAUACCCUGGUAGUCCAUGCCGUAAACGAUGAGUGCUAGGUGUUGGAGGGUUUCCGCCCUUCAGUGCCGGAGCUAACGCAUUAAGCACUCCGCCUGGGGAGUACGACCGCAAGGUUGAAACUCAAAGGAAUUGACGGGGGGCCCGCACAAGCGGUGGAGCAUGUGGUUUAAUUCGAAGCUACGCGAAGAACCUUACCAGGUCUUGACAUCUUGCGCUAACCUUAGAGAUAAGGCGUUCCCUUCGGGGACACAAUGACAGGUGGUGCAUGGUCGUCGUCAGCUCGUGUCGUGAGAUGUUGGGUUAAGUCCCGCAACGAGCGCAACCCUUGUUACUAGUUGCCAGCAUUAAGUUGGGCACUCUAGUGAGACUGCCGGUGACAAACCGGAGGAAGGUGGGGACGACGUCAGAUCAUCAUGCCCCUUAUGACCUGGGCUACACACGUGCUACAAUGGACGGUACAACGAGUCGCAAGCUCGCGAGAGUAAGCUAAUCUCUUAAAGCCGUUCUCAGUUCGGACUGUAGGCUGCAACUCGCCUACACGAAGUCGGAAUCGCUAGUAAUCGCGGAUCAGCAUGCCGCGGUGAAUACGUUCCCGGGCCUUGUACACACCGCCCGUCACACCAUGGGAGUUUGUAACGCCCAAAGUCGGUGGCCUAACCUUUAUGGAGGGAGCCGCCUAAGGCGGGACAGAUGACUGGGGUGAAGUCGUAACAAGGUAGCCGUAGGAGAACCUGCGGCUGGAUCACCU
RNAcentral lists this ribosomal RNA (1565 nucleotides) under Limosilactobacillus reuteri SD2112. Its description in RNAcentral is "Lactobacillus reuteri SD2112 16S ribosomal RNA". It matches the Rfam family "Bacterial small subunit ribosomal RNA". The record is from RNAcentral. Lineage: Bacteria; Bacillati; Bacillota; Bacilli; Lactobacillales; Lactobacillaceae.